GCGAAUACUCAAUAUCAUUCAAAGUCAAUUCUUCAUUUGACCUCUAAUUGGCAGCGGAAGGUCAUUUUCUGAAGUCGAAUGCGAUUUUAGAAAAUGACCUUCCAAUGUCAAUUAGAGUCAAAUGAAGAAUUGACCUUGAAUGAGCUUGAGUAUUCGAAAUUAUGGUGGUGCAAUCU
RNAcentral lists this small nucleolar RNA (176 nucleotides) under Tetranychus urticae (two-spotted spider mite). RNAcentral's name for it is "snoRNA tetur13g04676". Lineage: Eukaryota; Metazoa; Arthropoda; Arachnida; Trombidiformes; Tetranychidae. The record is from RNAcentral.